AUUAUUAAAAUAUAAUUAUAUAUCUCUAGAUUAUUAGUAAAUAUAUUUAUGAAAUUAAAAUAAUUUGGCGGUAUUUUAGUCUAUUCAGAGGAAUCUGUUCUGUAAUCGAUAGUCCACGUUGAAUCUGACUUAUUUUAUUUAAUUUGUAUAUCGUUGUCAUUAGAAUAUUUUGUAAGAAAAAUAAUUUUCUUUAAUUAAUAUGAGAUUAUAUGUCAAAUCAAGGUGCAGUUAAUAUUUAAGUAGAAAUGGAUUACAAUAAGAUAAAAUUAUAUGGAUAAAUAAUUGAAAUAUUAUAUUAAAGGUGGAUUUGAUAGUAAAAUUGUAAAGAUUAUUAAUUUGAUUAUAGCUCUAAAAUAUGCAC
Molecule: ribosomal RNA, 361 nt
Filed under: Phlebotomus duboscqi
Lineage: Eukaryota; Metazoa; Arthropoda; Insecta; Diptera; Psychodidae
Description: partial 12S ribosomal RNA
Source: RNAcentral